CCGGUUCGUAUUCUCAUACGACAGGAAUUAAAAGGGAAUGCCGUGAAAGUCGGCAACAGUUCCCGCUGCUGUUAGUUCCUGCCCUUAAGGGCACAAAACAGUUCCGAUAAUCUUUAGCCACUGGCCAUCCAGCCGGGAAGGCAUCGGAACAGGAAUAAGUCAGAAGACCUGCCUUGCAAAAUA
Molecule: non-coding RNA, 183 nt
Filed under: chicken gut metagenome
Source: RNAcentral